RNAcentral lists this long non-coding RNA (1597 nucleotides) under Paramuricea clavata. Lineage: Eukaryota; Metazoa; Cnidaria; Anthozoa; Malacalcyonacea; Plexauridae. The record is from RNAcentral.
CUCUACUCUGUGGCCUCACACAGAAAGUGACACGCAUGCGCAGUUACUUAAACUUUUUAAGGCGCCAUGAUGGAAUAUGAUGGAGUCCAGUGGAGUCAACACACGAAAUAAAACAGAGAAAUAGAACCACUGAGCAAAACAUGAUGCUCUGACAUGAUGUUUGUACCAAAAUAAAUUGUGGGGAUUCAUUGAUAAGGAAGAAGGAUUCAAGGAAGAUCUACAAACUGAAUUUCGCGUCGAUCGCCUGGUAUCACCGUUCGGAUCAUCGGAUGUGUUCUGUAAACCAAAAGGUCUGGAAGCGUUGUUUUGUCUCUGGUUGCUUCUAUUUAUGUCUGUUGUUUUGUGGCGUUGCAUAGGUUUGAUGUGAUAAUAUUUCGUCUUUAUUUUGGCAAUUUCGAUACUGCCUUCUUUUAGAUUUUAAUAUUCCUUUUUUCUUGACAAAGUCUUUAUAAAUACUAAAAUGUCUUGCUGUUCUUUCAAAUUUUCAUGUUUGUUCUGGUUCAACAAGCUAAACCCAGGAGCCAGAAUGCAGACUUGCACUUGUAAAAACAGAGUAUAACACUAAUCCCCUGCUUUUAUGUUAUAUAGGUGGGUUUCAUGCAAUCCCCAGAGGUUUUAACACUGUAAACUAGGCAGAUGGAGGUCAAAUAAUGACAUUCUAAUGCACUUGUCAUUGGAAACCCCCACCUUCCUAACAUUGGGGGGACACACGGGGAAUUAGACUUUUGGAAACUAUUGGGUCGUUCCAGAAAAGAUCCACACUCCCCCCACGGACGAAAUUUCUGCCAUCCGGUGGGGGAGGGGAGACAAAAUUGUUUUUGAUAAUAGUAAAUGUAUUAGGACAUCCGAAUGGGGUAGGGGGGUUAACUUCCAAUUUCUUCCGUGGGGGUGGUAUGGAUGUUUUCUGGAAUGACCCAUUGCAAAAAAAUCCCCACCCAUACUGUAGGUGCAAGCAAAACAAGCAAAAGCUGUAUGAAAGUCACAUCCACAACAAGUCAUAUACUAAAACUUUAAAAGUGCCUGCCAAAAGUGUAAUAUUUUAAGUUAUGACAUAAUGGUAAAAAUUAGCUGAUACAUAUAAAGUGCAAUAUGAGGAAUAAUGGCUUCUUGUGCAAUUGAGAAAACUUAUUUAUAUAAUUGUUUAUUGUACAAGUGCUGAGAUUUCAGUAUAAUUAAAUUAAUAGGCAAAUUAUGUUCAUAAUUUUGCCAAACAAGCACCAUGUUGGCUUUCUGUCUGACUGCAAGUAUUGCAUUGAACAGCAUUUAAUUGGUCAUAUAGUGUAAUUUAGCUGAAGUUGUAUUAGCUAGGCUGUCUAAGUUUGAUCAUUAGAGUCUCACUACUUAUGUACUAUUUAAAGCAUGUGUAGAAGUGCUUUAUUUCCAUUAUUAAAAUUAAUGAGUUUUUUAAGUAUUGUUUAAUAAAUGAGCAGGAGUGUUUUAUUAGGUUUAAAGACACAAGCGCGCAGCGUGAGUGGCUUUAGACCUAAUAAAACACGACCUGCGAGUUUAUUAAACAGCUUCAAACACAACUACAAAUUCAAUAGAUAUACUGCCUUAUUAGUAUUCUUUAUAUAAAAUAUACUAAUGAGGACACGAC